AGUGAGGAGAAGCCGUGGGCGGGGCGGGCUCGGCUGCCAGAGCGGCGUGAAAAAUUUCCCAAGGCGGAGCGAAAACCUUUCCUGAGCGACUGAGCAUGCCCGGUGGUGAAAGGGAAUGCUGAGUUCAGGUGCUGGGUGCUGGGCCAGCUAAUAACAGAAGGGUAUGUGGUUUAAACUCUCCAUGGGCUGACAAAAUCAGAUUUCUGACUCUGCAAAGCUAAGAAGACUCUGCUCCUGGAAGGCCUCUCCACUGACAGACUGGGACACCGGUUUGAACCCUGGUCCGGGAAGAUCCCACAUGCUGUGGAGCAACUACUGAGCCUGCGUGCCACAACUACUGAGCCUGUGUGCUGCAACUACUGAAGUCCACACACCUAGAGCCCGUGCUCCACAACAAGAGAAGCCACCGCAGUGAGAAGCCCGCACACUGCAAGGA
Molecule: long non-coding RNA, 436 nt
Organism: Eubalaena glacialis (North Atlantic right whale)
Lineage: Eukaryota; Metazoa; Chordata; Mammalia; Artiodactyla; Balaenidae
Exons: 4
Source: RefSeq, a predicted model, not a curated record